AUGCUCACUUCGGCAGCACAUAUACUAAAAAAAUUGGAAUGAUACAGAGAUUAGCAUGGACCCUGUGCAAGGAUGACAUGAAAAUUUGUGAAGCGUUCCAUUAAAAA
Manis javanica (Malayan pangolin) is the source of this 107-nucleotide small nuclear RNA. NCBI's taxonomy places the organism in Eukaryota, Metazoa, Chordata, Mammalia, Pholidota, Manidae. The record is from RefSeq and is a predicted model, not a curated record.